Molecule: ribosomal RNA, 492 nt
Filed under: uncultured bacterium
Lineage: Bacteria
Description: partial 16S ribosomal RNA
Rfam family: Bacterial small subunit ribosomal RNA
Source: RNAcentral
AGUGAACGCUGGCGGUAGGCCUAACACAUGCAAGUCGAACGGCAGCACAGUAAGAGCUUGCUCUUACGGGUGGCGAGUGGAGGACGGGUGAGGAAUACAUCGGAAUCUACUUUUUCGUGGGGGAUAACGUAGGGAAACUUACGCUAAUACCGCAUACGACCUACGGGUGAAAGCAGGGGAUCUUCGGACCUUGGGCGAUUGAAUGAGCCGAUGUCGGAUUAGCUAGUUGGCGGGGUAAAGGCCCACCAAGGCGACGAUCCGUAGCUGGUCUGAGAGGAUGAUCAGCCACACUGGAACUGAGACACGGUCCAGACUCCUACGGGAGGCAGCAGUGGGGAAUAUUGGACAAUGGGCGCAAGCCUGAUCCAGCCAUACCGCGUGGGUGAAGAAGGCCUUCGGGUUGUAAAGCCCUUUUGUUGGGAAAGAAAAGCAGCAGGUUAAUACCCCGCUGUUCUGACGGUACCCAAAGAAUAAGCACCGGCUAACUUCGUG